RNAcentral lists this transfer RNA (60 nucleotides) under Quercus spinosa. RNAcentral's name for it is "tRNA-Gly". It matches the Rfam family "tRNA". From Rfam's summary of the family: Transfer RNA (tRNA) molecules are approximately 80 nucleotides in length. The record is from RNAcentral. Lineage: Eukaryota; Viridiplantae; Streptophyta; Magnoliopsida; Fagales; Fagaceae. RNAcentral also lists the same sequence under 2 other names.
GCGGGUAUAGUUUAGUGGUAAAACCAAGCUAACGACGCGGGUUCGAUUCCCGCUACCCGC